GGACCCGCACAAGCAGCGGAGCAUGUGGUUUAAUUCGAAGCAACGCGAAGAACCUUACCAGGACUUGACAUCCCUCUGACAGGAACUUAACCGUUCCCUUCUUCGGACAGAGGAGACAGGUGGUGCAUGGUUGUCGUCAGCUCGUGUCGUGAGAUGUUGGGUUAAGUCCCGCAACGAGCGCAACCCUUGUCAUUAGUUGCCAUCAUUAAGUUGGGCACUCUAGUGAGACUGCCGUGGAUAACACGGAGGAAGGUGGGGAUGACGUCAAAUCAUCAUGCCCCUUAUGUUCUGGGCUACACACGUGCUACAAUGGCUGGUACAAAGAGACGCAAGACCGUGAGGUGGAGCAAAUCUCAAAAACCAGUCCCAGUUCGGAUUGUAGGCUGCAACUCGCCUACAUGAAGUUGGAGUUGCUAGUAAUCGCGGAUCAGAAUGCCGCGGUGAAUGCGUUCCCGGGUCUUGUACACACCGCCCGUCACACCAUGGAAGUUGGGGGCGCCCGAAGUUGGCCAGUAAAUAGGUUACCUAAGGCGAAAUCAAUGACUGGGGUGAAGUCGUAACAAGGUAGCCGUAUCGGAAGGUGCGGCU
RNAcentral lists this ribosomal RNA (588 nucleotides) under uncultured Anaerovorax sp. RNAcentral's name for it is "bacterial SSU rRNA". It matches the Rfam family "Bacterial small subunit ribosomal RNA", at positions 917 to 1519 of the family's 1533-position model. The record is from RNAcentral. Lineage: Bacteria; Bacillati; Bacillota; Clostridia; Peptostreptococcales; Anaerovoracaceae.